Molecule: ribosomal RNA, 406 nt
Filed under: uncultured bacterium
Lineage: Bacteria
Description: partial 16S ribosomal RNA
Rfam family: Bacterial small subunit ribosomal RNA
Source: RNAcentral
AUUGAACGCUGGCGGCAGGCCUAACACAUGCAAGUCGAACGAGUGGCGGACGGGUGAGUAAUGUUUGGGAAACUACCUGAUGGAGGGGGAUAACUACGGGAAACGGUAGCUAAUACCGCAUACCAUAAGAUGAGCCCAGGUGGGAUGAGGUAGUUGGUGGGGUAAAGGCUCACCAAGGCGACGAUCCCUAGCUGGUCUGAGAGGAUGACCAGCCACACUGGAACUGAGACACGGUCCAGACUCCUACGGGAGGAAGCAGUGGGGAAUAUUGCACAAUGGGCGCAAGCCUGAUGCAGCCAUGCCGCGUGUAUGAAGAAGGCCUUCGGGUUGUAAAGUACUUUCAGUGGGGAGGCGUUACCCGCAGAAGAAGCACCGGCUAACUCCGUGCCAGCCGCCGCGGUAAUAC